RNAcentral lists this long non-coding RNA (370 nucleotides) under Arachis ipaensis. Its description in RNAcentral is "long non-coding RNA (AIPA_LNC002393)". Lineage: Eukaryota; Viridiplantae; Streptophyta; Magnoliopsida; Fabales; Fabaceae. The record is from RNAcentral.
CGUCAGGUGUAGAGAGCGAGCCACAAUAAUCCAAAUGGCGGCGACACUUUACAUAAUCAAUACAACAGCGACGAGAACAACGGCCAGAGAUCCUGCGGCGGAGAAACCAAUCGACGCGGCGCCACUACCGGACGGUCCAGGAGCAGGAGCAGGAGCAGGAGCGUGAGCUGGCGGCGAAGAGGUUGAUGAGGGAGAUGCUGCAUGCGACGGAGUGGGGGCUUUACUAGUGUUCGGAGACGCCGCAUGAGAUACUGAAACGGUGGCUGAGAGCACGCACAUUACCACCAUUAUCGUGAUCAGGGUUCCAGAGCGAGCCAUGUUCAGAGAGAGAGAGAGAGUGUGUGUGUUUUCUGAACUGCGCAGCAACAGA